This 423-nucleotide ribosomal RNA is filed under the name uncultured Glomeromycotina. RNAcentral describes it as "SSU rRNA". It matches the Rfam family "Eukaryotic small subunit ribosomal RNA", at positions 671 to 1092 of the family's 1831-position model. The record is from RNAcentral. Lineage: Eukaryota; Fungi; Glomeromycota.
UGGUAUGCACUGGCUUCGCUGAUUCCUCCUUUCUGAAGAACUGUAAUGUCAUUAAUUUGGUGUUGCAGGGAAACAGGACUGUUACUUUGAAAAAAUUAGAGUGUUUAAAGCAGGCUAACGCUUGAAUACAUUAGCAUGGAAUAAUGAAAUAGGACGCUCGAUCCUAUUUUGUUGGUUUCUAGGAUUGACGUAAUGAUUAAUAGGGAUAGUUGGGGGCAUUAGUAUUCAAUUGUCAGAGGUGAAAUUCUUGGAUUUAUUGAAGACUAACUACUGCGAAAGCAUUUGCCAAGGAUGUUUUCAUUAAUCAAGAACGAAAGUUAGGGGAUCGAAGACGAUCAGAUACCGUCGUAGUCUUAACCAUAAACUAUGCCGACUAGGGAUCGGAUGAUGUUAAUUUUUUAAUGACUCAUUCGGCGCCUUACG